AACGAACGCUGGCGGCAGGCCUAACACAUGCAAGUCGAGCGAGAUCUUCGGGUCUAGCGGCGGACGGGUGUGUAACGCGUGGGAAUAUGGCUCUUGGUACGGAAUAGCAUCGGGAAACUGGGAGUAAUACCGUAAGUGCCCUUUGGGGGAAAGAUUGAUCGACAUAAGAUUAGCCAGCGUUGGAUAAGGUAGUUGGUGGGGUAAUGGCCUACCAAGCUGACAAUCUAUAGUUUGUUUGUGAGAAUGAUAAGCCACACUUGGACUGAGACACGGCCCAGACUCCUACGGGAAGCAGCAAAGGGUGAUCGUAGACAGUCGCGUCAGCGCUGAUCUAGCCAUGCCGCUAGAGUGAUGAAGGCAUUGGAGUUGUAAUGCUCUUUCAGCUAGGAAGAUAAUGACGGUACCAGCAGAAGAAGCCCCGGCUAACUCCGUG
This 433-nucleotide ribosomal RNA is filed under the name uncultured bacterium. RNAcentral describes it as "partial 16S ribosomal RNA". It matches the Rfam family "Bacterial small subunit ribosomal RNA", at positions 29 to 507 of the family's 1533-position model. The record is from RNAcentral.